AUUUUUCCUAGCUUCAUUCUUACUGGAUGGCACAGAGGACUUUGUUGGUUAGUCCUAGGGGUGGGAAAGUGGAUGGAUUGGAUGGAUAUGAAUUUGGAUUCUAAUGGAUGGAUCAAAAAAGGUUCAUUAGUCCAUUACAAUCCACUAUUAUUUUUUCUUAAAAAAAACCAUCCAGUCCAUCCAAUUAGAAUAAAGUCCAU
This 200-nucleotide long non-coding RNA is filed under the name Medicago truncatula (barrel medic). Its description in RNAcentral is "long non-coding RNA (MTRU_LNC003161)". Lineage: Eukaryota; Viridiplantae; Streptophyta; Magnoliopsida; Fabales; Fabaceae. The record is from RNAcentral.